GGCCGCGUAGCGUAAUGGUUAACGCGUUGCUUUCCGGAGGCAAAGAUUCCAGUUUCGAAUACUGGCGUGGUCG
RNAcentral lists this transfer RNA (73 nucleotides) under Cylindrobasidium torrendii FP15055 ss-10. RNAcentral's name for it is "tRNA-Arg (CCG) (tRNA-Arg-CCG-2-1, tRNA-Arg-CCG-2-2)". It matches the Rfam family "tRNA". From Rfam's summary of the family: Transfer RNA (tRNA) molecules are approximately 80 nucleotides in length. Their secondary structure includes four short double-helical elements and three loops (D, anti-codon, and T loops). Further hydrogen bonds mediate the characteristic L-shaped molecular structure. tRNAs have two regions of fundamental functional importance: the anti-codon, which is responsible for specific mRNA codon recognition, and the 3' end, to which the tRNAs corresponding amino acid is attached (by aminoacyl-tRNA synthetases). tRNAs cope with the degeneracy of the genetic code in two manners: having more than one tRNA (with a specific anti-codon) for a particular amino acid; and 'wobble' base-pairing, i.e. permitting non-standard base-pairing at the 3rd anti-codon position. The record is from RNAcentral. Lineage: Eukaryota; Fungi; Basidiomycota; Agaricomycetes; Agaricales; Physalacriaceae.